AUAUCCCUAACUCCUCCAAGUAAAAGCUCCUCUGAUUCUUCUCUCUCUCUCUCUCUCUCUCUCUCUCUCUCUCUCUCUGCAAUUAGACUUGGAAUUCUAGUAGUUUUUUCUUGCAUUUUGUUCAGCAGGAGAUGCUUCAUUUCUCAUCUAAUUCAACAUGAUGGUGGUCUAUUAGUAGGCGGCAGCAGGGCUGGGCCCAAGAUGGAGGAGGUGGACUAAGGCUAUGGUGGGUUUACUAGAAAAGAAGAUUGAAGAAAUGCAAUUGGAAGAGAUGCAACUUCAAUUGAAAGAAACUGAAAAGAUGUUAGUGAAGGAACAAGAGGCUAUGGACCGUGGUCACUUUCAAGGCCAUUCUUUUGAUAUUGUAUUAGCCUUUCAGGUAUGUAUAUUUAUUUUUUAAGAUUUGCCUAUGUAUACUUGAGCACCUUGUUCCUUUCUAUACUUAUCCAUGUAUUGAUCUAAAGUUUAUAUUGCCAACCUUGAACAGUUUGUUGGGCUGGCAAAAGCAUAGUGGGGCUCCUAGAGGUACUCAGAAAUUUUAUACAUGGUAUACAUUAACUCCAGUAAAAUAGUCUAACUUGAGGGGCCCACUAUAGAUAGGUCAUCAUCCAAAUUUUAGAUUGUAUAAACGACCCUAACCUCUGACUAUGGGAAAUUGUUUAUUUAACUUGGGCCAUCCAUUAAAUGUCGAUCAACCAACCUCCUAGAUAUCAAAUUAGUGUAUUUUUCAUGUUUCACAAGCCAUCUAAAUUGGGACCUACAAUAUGAACAGUUUAAUUUAAGAUACUACUAUGCCACAUGUGUAGUUUCUUAAUGCUUGUGUAUCAACCAACACACCAUUGUUUUAUUGAUCCAAGCUCUUCAUGAAAUUAAUAAUUUCAUGGUAAAUUUUGUACAUGGGCCUGAAUGCAGAUGUGAAGUUGGGCAACACAAGGACUGUAGCAUAAGCUCUUGCAAGGUCCAAACAGGGUUAGCAAUGCUAUUCUUGUUUUUAUUUGACCAUAUCCUUGCAACUUGCUAGUUCAAUUUAACUUUGAUGAUGUGCAACCAUGCUUUGGUAAAUUUUUGCACUAGAGUUAGCUAUCAAAACUUCAGAUGAGAAUGCAAACAAGGAUCGAUCAUAGAGAGUUUUCCAGAUGACUGAAAUUGAUGAUUUGCAAGCCCCUCGUGACCUUCCUCUUGCACAACUUUGUAUCAAGGUUUGAUUCAUCAUCCUGAGCUGUUUAUAGUUUUGUUGAAAACUUAAAUGUCUAAACAUGUUUGUUGCAUUAGGACACGAGUACUCUAAUUUUUAAGUAUAUAACUUCCUGGCUGUUUAUAUGAUGUUUGUGUUUAUACGAAUGAAUAUUUCUUUGAAACUGUUUAUUGAUUUGAUAAUCUGUGUUAGAAACUAGGAAGUAUUUCUUGUGGUUAUUUCAUUUGAUUGUGCUAACUUAAAUUUGAAUUAUCCAUAGUUUUCUGCAUCAGUUUUGGUCGAUUUGUAAUUAUUGAGGUCAUUUUCUAUGGCCUAGAUUAUCAUAUUUCAACUGGAGUAGAAUUUUUGGUGGAUCUCAACAUACUUUACGCACAAAACUCACAUUCUCACAAGAAUCACAUGGUAUGACUGAGAUUCCAACCUAUGACUUUGCAAGAAAAUGAAACAUCACAAAGGAAGCUGGACCUGUAAGCAUGAUUUUCACCAUACUAAUAUAUAAUGCUUCAAAGCUUCAUGUGAGUUGGUCUUUUGACUAUAAAGGAAAAUUCUACAUGCUUCUUUCGUCAUUUGUUUCUUUUUUUUUCUUGAGAGGUAAGCUGAGCGAAUCCUGGUUAAUGUUGAAAACACCAUCUACAAAACAUUGAGUUA
Molecule: long non-coding RNA, 1843 nt
Organism: Magnolia sinica
Lineage: Eukaryota; Viridiplantae; Streptophyta; Magnoliopsida; Magnoliales; Magnoliaceae
Exons: 5
Source: RefSeq, a predicted model, not a curated record